CAUCAGCAGCACCGAUUCUGUGGGAUGGGGAACGUUGCACGUCCCGAGUUAAGCAGCUUUCCAGCCUGUGCCAGGUUUGGAUGGCUGACAAACCCACCCUGCAGGAAGAAUACAAGCUAUUGGCUUCACAGCUACACAGCUUCACUUACUUCUGAAGGAAAUGUUAAACCUGUGAACCAGUGGUCGCUCUUCUCUUGCUGUGUUGUAGCAUCUCUGUAAGCCAUCACAGAGCAUCCCUGUCAGCAGCAUCUGAGCUCCCAGGCUUUGGGUCUGGUGGUCCUGUCCUCAGACCCCAUCUGAGUGUUUGUAUUCCCCUAUGGGCACCUGGAACACACCCAUGGUCAGGAACAUGCAGCACCCUCAGGAAUACAUACCCACGGGUGCAGGAUUGCCCUCCUUUAUCCCUCCUCUUUCCCCUGGAUCUACAAUAAUGUAAUUUGUCCUAAAAAACAAGCCAGAGCUGGUUCGAAAUGCACUGAAGGCCAGUUCCCAGCUCUCUCCCAAAUCCCUUUCCAUGGCCAAAUCCCCACCUGCAACAUGGGAUAAUCCCAUUCCCAACACUGCUAGGUUUUGUUUAUGAACUCCCUGAGACAGAGACUCUCUCACUGCACCCCUCAAGGAAGUGGCAUGACAGGGACCUGCCCAUAAUAAGGCCCUGUAAAAGCAAUGUGAUUUUGUUAAAGAGAAACAGGAAUGGCUUGCAAAGAAAUAAAAAUAAGAGUGAACUUUGGGUUCCUUUGACUUGCUUCCACAUAAUCUCUUUGGGAAAGCACACAGAGCUUGCACUCUUUGCUGCCUGCUUGUUGCUUGUCUCUUAGCAAAAGGCCAUCAAAAAACCUAGCUUUUUGGAGCAGAAGGCUUUAUCAGCAGAUCAGAAGCCCUAGAGCAGUCCUGCUGCUGCCCUUGGGAAAUUCAAGGUCUGAGGCAUCUCUCUGCCAUUGCUAUCUACACCCCAGUCAUGCCUGGGGCUGCAGCAAGUUGCUCACAGGGUCCCUUUUGGUCCUCCUCUGCACGUACCCCAGGUUGUCUUUUCACCUCAGGGCUCUGCUCAGCCCUGCUCCAGGGACCCUGGGUUGAUUUUUCCAAGGAUAGGGAUGUCUUAAGGAUCCACUUGUAUCCUAUCAUGUGCUGGGGGAACAGGACAUGACAGACCAGACCCUGAGAUGGAGUCAGGGAUGCUGUGCCUUCCAGAGAGGGGUCUUGCUGUGAGCUCCUUCCUGAGGAGCAAAUAUCUCUUUACCGUUGCACAUUCCCACCUUUACCCCAAAUGUAUGGGAAUGUAAUUAUUUAAUUGUCUGGGCUUGCUGAUGAAGACAGAGAAUUUCUCCUUUGCUUAUCUCAAAGCUCCCCUGUGCUUCAAUGCACCUUCUUUAGCCCCCCGGCAGCUAUUAGGAAGGCAUGUGCUCUUGUGACCAUGGCAUUUGCCUGCUUGCAUACCCUGGGUCUGGCCUAGGAGGGGGAUGAGAAAUAGCAAGUCACUGCAAUGGCAGCAGCCUUGUUUCAGGGGCAAAGUCUGAAAUUUUGGCAAAUAAUUUGCCAUCCACCUUCUGCUUUUGCCAUUCUGGCUGCAGUUUGGGACCCGCGGGGAUAAGAAGCUUUGUGUUUCUGCUGCAGCGUGCUGGCAAUCUUGCCAUGUCUCUCAUCUAAGCCUUCAGAAUCACCCAGAUGUGGCAGGACUCAGCCUCCUGGAGAGCAGAAAAGCAUCAGAGAAGGCCAUGCCCCAUGAGAAGGACACCACUGCAUGACCCUCUGGGUCCCCAGUGGGUAGAGAAGAGCCUGACUGCAGUAGGAACCACCUGCUCAGCAUCAUCUGAAGAAGGUGUUUUCCUUCCUCCAGCCCCCACAGCCUUACUGGGUUAAAGGAAGGGCCCUGGGCAGAGCAAGGAGCACUCACAAUAUAGGAGAUCAGCCUGAGCAUCCUCGCACUGUGGGGUUCAACCUACCAGAAUCAUGCCAGUGGGCACCAACCCUAUUUAUUUCCAUGCUCAUCAGCAAAAGCAGCACAUUUUCAGGUGGCAUCUCUCUUCCUUCUCAGCACCAAAGCUUUUGCCUGGCAUCCAAAGGGAAAAGAAUAACGGGGCCAUCAGCAGUGAGCAAAACGCAUCUCAUAACCUCCACUUCUUUUCAACGAGCUCCAGUUGUUGCUUUACAAGUGUACUCCAACCCCAGCAAGUGCCAAACAAAAGCUCCCCUCUCCUCCUC
Pezoporus flaviventris is the source of this 2202-nucleotide long non-coding RNA. RefSeq lists it as uncharacterized. The record is from RefSeq and is a predicted model, not a curated record. Lineage: Eukaryota; Metazoa; Chordata; Aves; Psittaciformes; Psittacidae. The transcript has 2 exons.